GAAAUGCGAUAAGUAAUGUGAAUUGCAGAAUUCAGUGAAUCAUCGAAUCUUUGAACGCACCUUGCGCUCCUUGGUAUUCCUUGGAGCAUGCCUGUUUGAGUAUCAUGAAAUCUUCAAAGUAAAUCUUUUGUUAACUCAAUUGGUUUCUACUUUGGUAUUGGAGGUCUUUGCAGCUUCACACCUGCUCCUCUUUGUUCAUUAGCUGGAUCUCAGUGUUAUGCUUGGUUCCACUCGGCGUGAUAAGUUAUCUAUCGCUGAGGACACUGUAAAAAGUGGCCAAGGUAAAUGCAGAUGAACCGCUUCUAAUAGUCCAUUGAUUGGACAAUACUUUUAUGAUCUGAUCUCAAAUCAGGUAGGACUACCCGCUGAACUUAAGC
This 377-nucleotide unclassified non-coding RNA is filed under the name plant metagenome. RNAcentral's name for it is "partial contains 5.8S ribosomal RNA, internal transcribed spacer 2, and large subunit ribosomal RNA". The stretch from base 1 to 105 matches the Rfam family "5.8S ribosomal RNA", at positions 50 to 154 of the family's 154-position model. The record is from RNAcentral.